AGUGAACGCUGGCGGUAGGCCUAACACAUGCAAGUCGAACGGUAACAGGUCUUCGGAUGCUGACGAGUGGCGAACGGGUGAGUAAUACAUCGGAACGUGCCUAGUAGUGGGGGAUAACUACUCGAAAGAGUGGCUAAUACCGCAUGAGAUCUACGGAUGAAAGCAGGGGAUCGCAAGACCUUGUGCUACUAGAGCGGCCGAUGGCAGAUUAGGUAGUUGGUGGGAUAAAAGCUUACCAAGCCGACGAUCUGUAGCUGGUCUGAGAGGACGAUCAGCCACACUGGGACUGAGACACGGCCCAGACUCCUACGGGAGGCAGCAGUGGGGAAUUUUGGACAAUGGGCGAAAGCCUGAUCCAGCAAUGCCGCGUGCAGGAUGAAGGCCUUCGGGUUGUAAACUGCUUUUGUACGGAGCGAAAAGCCCCGGGUUAAUACCCUGGGGUCAUGACGGUACCGUAAGAAUAAGCAACGGCUAACUACGUGCCAGCAGCCGCAGUAA
Molecule: ribosomal RNA, 498 nt
Filed under: uncultured bacterium
Lineage: Bacteria
Description: partial 16S ribosomal RNA
Rfam family: Bacterial small subunit ribosomal RNA
Source: RNAcentral